Molecule: ribosomal RNA, 352 nt
Filed under: uncultured bacterium
Lineage: Bacteria
Description: bacterial SSU rRNA
Rfam family: Bacterial small subunit ribosomal RNA
Source: RNAcentral
GGGCCCGCACAAGCGGUGGAGCAUGUGGUUUAAUUCGAUGCAACGCGAAGAACCUUACCAGGCCUUGACAUCCUCGGAACUUUCUAGAGAUAGAUUGGUGCCUUCGGGAACCGAGUGACAGGUGCUGCAUGGCUGUCGUCAGCUCGUGUCGUGAGAUGUUGGGUUAAGUCCCGUAACGAGCGCAACCCUUAUCCUUAAUUGCCAGCGGUUAGGCCGGGAACUCUAAGGAGACUGCCGAUGACAAAUCGGAGGAAGGUGUGGACGACGUCAAGUCAUCAUGGCCCUUACGGGCUGGCUACACACGUGCUACAAUGGGCGUACAGAGGGUUGCGAAGCGGCGACGUGGAGCCAA